GGUCGGGGUUUCGUACGUAGCAGAGC
This 26-nucleotide non-coding RNA is filed under the name Gallus gallus (chicken). RNAcentral also lists the same sequence under 6 other names. The record is from RNAcentral. Lineage: Eukaryota; Metazoa; Chordata; Aves; Galliformes; Phasianidae.